AUAUACGGUCACACUUGUAUAAUAUCGUUCUCUUCUACUUCUGAUUUCUGAGCUGUGUGGACGUAUUGAGAAAGAAUUAUAUUUUUUAUAUUAUUGACGACAACCGCAGUGCUAAUAAAAUACAAAAUACGAAUAAAUACAAACAUAAAAGGAAACCUUACAUUCUGUUUAAUAUAUGUAUAUACUACUGGAAGGCUGAAACCAAAGGAUGCACAAGAUAUACACGGAUUAAAUAUUCAACUCACGUUUUGUUUACUGCAAAUUAUUUCAACAGAGACCAAUAAAAAAAAAGGAAUGCGAUAUAUGUCCAUUAUACAAGACGGUUGCUGACCAAAAAAAAAUGUGCCGACCUGAUGAUUUUUCAGUAAUUGAUAAAAUAGCUGAAGUAACGCUGCAGAGUCUUCUAGCUCACACAGCAACUCGGCUCGUUCAUUUGCAAGUUGACAUCGUCGAGAACAUUAUGAAAGAUCAAGAAACUGGAAUAACGUAUCGAAGUUUAAAAUAUAUCUCAGCUGAUGAUAUUCGUGAUGCUCUCCCCAAUAUUGGUUUAAGGGCUGAAUUUAGAGUGAAAUUAUUCGCUUGGAAAAAGAAAGAGUUUAAUUUUGACGACGAAACAUUGUCCGCUAAUUCAAAAGUUUUAUCUUGGAUUCAAAAAAGUUCUCCUUCGAACUAGUUUUCUGCUGGUUUAAUGAUUGGAAUGUAGUCGUUGAAAAAUGGUCACAAACAUUUGAUUUGCGUCGUAAGAACUUACAGAAUUUGGACACUACAGAAUUUCUAAAACAAUGUCCAAAAUAUUCAGAAAGCUAAGCUCCAGAUUUGGUUUCAAGUAGACUUUGACCUCUUAUAUCCAGAAAAGGGACUGCACUUCGAAGCCAAGCAUAAAUCCAGCACGAUCAUUGUAAUGACAAAAUUGAUACAAAUCGAAUUCUAAUCUACUCUUUAAUAUUGCAGAAUUUACAACAUAUCCGAUGCAUUUAUAUACUCAAAGCAACUCUAAAAACUAUUUAAUUUAUAACAUGUAUAAAUUUUAAGAUUCUCAUGUACAUAUAUGUAAUAAAUAAUUAAACAAAUAU
This is a long non-coding RNA of Drosophila obscura, 1073 nucleotides long. RefSeq lists it as uncharacterized. The transcript is spliced from 5 exons. Lineage: Eukaryota; Metazoa; Arthropoda; Insecta; Diptera; Drosophilidae. The record is from RefSeq and is a predicted model, not a curated record.